This 513-nucleotide ribosomal RNA is filed under the name uncultured bacterium. Its description in RNAcentral is "bacterial SSU rRNA". It matches the Rfam family "Bacterial small subunit ribosomal RNA", at positions 263 to 767 of the family's 1533-position model. The record is from RNAcentral.
CGUCACCAAGGCGACGAUCCGUAGCUGGUCUGAGAGGAUGAUCAGCCACACUGGAACUGAGACACGGUCCAGACUCCUACGGGAGGCAGCAGUGGGGAAUAUUGGACAAUGGGCGAAAGCCUGAUCCAGCCAUGCCGCGUGUGUGAAGAAGGCCUUCGGGUUGUAAAGCACUUUUAAGCGGGGAGGAAGUACUUGGGGCUAAUACCCCUGAGUGUUGACGUUACCCGCAGAAUAAGCACCGGCUAACUCUGUGCCAGCAGCCGCGGUAAUACAGAGGGUGCAAGCGUUAAUCGGAAUUACUGGGCGUAAAGCGCGCGUAGGCGGUUUGUUAAGUCGGAUGUGAAAUCCCCGGGCUCAACCUGGGCACGGCAUCCGAUACUGGCUGACUAGAGUGUGGGAGAGGAAGGUAGAAUUCCAGGUGUAGCGGUGAAAUGCGUAGAGAUCUGGAGGAAUACCGAUGGCGAAGGCAGCCUUCUGGCCUAACACUGACGCUGAGGUGCGAAAGCAUGGGGA